CUUUUUGUUGCUAUUGUGAAUGGAACCUGUUUUUUUCCCUCCUUAUCAUACUUUCUGUUUUCAAAAUAAUUGGUUUAUUGACUUUUUUUUUUUUUAACAUAUUGACCUUGCAUCAUUGGUUCUAAUAGUUUUCAGCUGAUUUUCUUGGAUUUUCUAGGUAACUGACCAUGUUAUCUGGAAACAGAAACCACUGAGUCUCUUCAUUUCUGUUUUGUCUGGGCUCUUUCAGUACACACACACGGGAUUACUCACCUGGGAGCGAGACCUGAGUUCUGGUGCAAGCCUUCUAUUUACUGACCUGGGUGAUGCAAAUCUCUUAACCUCAGAGGUAAAAUGAGGGGGCUGUUGCCUCUGACUCCGUGCUUCUGCAGUUUAAUUAUAAUUAACUCAAACGUUUGAUGAGCUCUUUAAAAAUUAAAAAAAAAAAAAAUGGUUGGUGGCUUUAAUAAGUUUGUACCACUGGGCCCUGAGUCGUAUUUUUGAAGUAAUAUAAGACAGGGAGAGAGGGUUGAGAGGUCCCUUCCAUUAUAUGAAUUUCCUAUUGAAUGUGUUAGUUUGAGAUAGCACCUGCCUAGUGUUAGGGGUCUAUAGAUACUACUUGAAUUAGGGAAGGUAGUGAUUAGGAUAAUGAAAUUUUUUUAAUUUGAAAAAACAACAAAGCCAAACAGAAACGAGUUUCUAAUUUUAUUGCAAAUAACUUGCAGGACUGAAAAUGAUUAAAGUUGUCAUACAUUUCUACAUUGAUAAGCCCUGUGCCAAGGGAUCAGAUACAACACAGUAAUCUACCAAGAUGAAAAAGAGUACCAUUGUUAACAGCUUAUUUUAAGGGUUGUAGAGUUUUAAAUGAAUUUGCUUUGUUUCUUUGUCUUUUAUUCUAAGAAGCUGUCUCUGAGGGGUUUAUGCAGGAAAUAGAUGUGAUCACCUUUGUGAUGUGUUAAAUUAGUAGCAAAUUUAACUUUAGGAUGAAAAAUCAUACUGGAUGCAGAAAUAGACAUUCAAAGAACCACAUACUAGUUGCAGGUUAGACAUAAUAUAUAAAAGUUAUUUUUAUAAUGAUUUUUAAAUUUGGAAUUAUUAAGAUUACACUUUUUUUUAAGUGUAACUGAGAGAAGCAAGAGCAAUGUAUUUGUGAUCGAAUUUAAGUCAGCUGCAUGAUAUUUGUAUAUCUACAUGUGAAAGUUUAAAUAUAAUGACAUUGUCUAUAUAAUGCAUAUAUAGUACACACACGCCUAUGUAGUUAGAAUCCUUAUCUAUUCCAUAGGAAGAAAAUGCUGUGUUAAAAUGUCUCUAGCAUUGAGUUACCUCUAAAGAAAUCAUAUUGUUUUGUUUUUGUUACU
Molecule: long non-coding RNA, 1337 nt
Filed under: Bos indicus x Bos taurus (hybrid cattle)
Lineage: Eukaryota; Metazoa; Chordata; Mammalia; Artiodactyla; Bovidae
Description: lncRNA (ENSBIXG00000018036.1)
Source: RNAcentral